RNAcentral lists this long non-coding RNA (2606 nucleotides) under Homo sapiens (human). RNAcentral describes it as "HSALNT0194963". The record is from RNAcentral. Lineage: Eukaryota; Metazoa; Chordata; Mammalia; Primates; Hominidae.
CCUGGGCUCAAGUGAUCCUCCCACAUCAGCCUCCAGAGUAACUGGGACCACAGGCACACAUCACCACGCUCAGCUAAUUUUUGUAUUUUUUUGUAGAGAUGGGGUUUCACCAUAUUGGCCAGGCUGAUCUUGAACUCGUGGGCUGAAGCAAAUCACCCACCUCAGCUUCCCAAAAUGCUGGGAUUACAGGCAUGAGCCACAGUGCCUGGCCUAAAAUACUCUUAAAUGAUGCACCCUCCAUACAUAGAAAAUCUUCCUAGAAGUAAUAUCAUCCUAUAUAAUGAGAUGAGGGUUAAGCUGGUGAUAAAGUUAGGCAUAAGUAGGGCAUCACCCUAAAUCCCGAGUUAAGAGGAGUUUGCUGUAGUUUGGGGAGCAUAUUGAAAACACAUUGUUGGCUGUGGGCGGCAAGCCAUCCAGGUGCUGAGGCAAGAGACCGAGGGCACGAGCUGUUCCAGUAUAAUAAAAUAUAUAAAACAACAAGAGUUAUACUAGAUCUAGAUCACAGACAUGAUUAUAUAUGAAUAUCAUUAAUCAUUAGUUAUCCGGAGGCCUAACCGUCUCCCUGUGGUGCUGUGCUUCAGUGGUCACGCUCCUAGUCUGCCUUCAUGUUCCAUCCUGUACACCUGGCUCUGCCUUUUAGAUAACAGUAGCAAAAUUAGUGAAAGUACUAAAAGUCUCUGAUACGCAGAAAUAAUGGCGUAAGCUGUCUCUCUCUCUCCCUGUCUAUCUCUGCCUUGGCUGCCAGGCAGGGAAGGGCCCCCUGUCCAGUGGACACGUGACCCACGUGACCUUACCUGUCAUUGGAGAUGACUCACACUCUUUACCCUGCCCCUUUUGCUUUGUAUCCAAUAAAUAACAGUGCAGCCAGACAUUCGGGGCCUCUACCGGUCUCCGCCUCUUGGUGGUAGUGGUCCCCCAAGCCCAGCUGUCUUUUCUUUUACCUCUUUGUCUUGUGUCUUUAUUUCUACAAUCUCUCGUCUCCGCACAUGGGGAGAAAAACCCACCGACCCUGUGGGGCUGGUCCCUACAGUUGGCCGGGCACGGUGGCUCACACUUGUAAUCCCAGUACUCUGGGAGGCAGAGGUGGGUGGAUUACCUGAGGUCAGGCCUUCAACACCAGCCUGGCCAACAUGGCAAAACCCCGUCUCUACUAAAAAUACAAAAAUUAGCCAGGCAUGGUGGCGCACACCUGUAAUCCCAGCUACUCAGGAGGCUGAGGCAGGAGAAUUGCUCCAACCCAGGAGGCAGAGGUUGCAGUGAGCCAAGAUCACGUCACUGCACUCCAGCCUGGGCGACAGACCGAGACUCAGUCUCAAAAAAAAAAGAAGAAAAAAAAAAAGAAAAUACAUUGUCAAGACUCAAAUCACAGAGUGGUGUUUCACAUGAUGGUAGAGACUGCUGAUUGCCCUCUUGAACCCAGCUUCCAUUUCUUCUUUUUCUUAUUUAUUUAUAUUUUGAGACGGAGUUUCUCUCUUGUUGCCCAGGCUGGAGUACAAUGGAGCAAUCUUGGCUCACUGCAACCUCUGCCUCCCAGGUUCAAGCAAUUCUCCUGCCUCAGCCUCCUGAGUAGCUGGGAUUACAGGCAUGAGCCACCAUGCCCGGCUAGUUUUUUUUUUUUUUUUUGUAUUUUCAGUAGAGAUGGGGUUUCUCCCUGUUGGUCAGGCUGGUCUCGAACUCCCAACCUCAGGUGACCCACCCACCUUGGCCUCCCAAAGUGCUGGAAUUAUAGGCGUGAGCCACUGUGCCCGGCCUUUGCCAGGUAUCUUGACUAGAGGAAGAUAGUGUUCUGGGUGGGAGACUCAAGAGGUCUGGUUACUGAAGAUACAGAUCUCACUUAAAGUAAGUAAAUUGACAUCUGGUUUCCAAAUCAAUCUAUUAUGAAAUUGGCCCAUGUCACUUUCAUUUGGCCUGAUCAAGUUUUUACUGAGAACUGAAUUGGGCACAGUGGCUCACACCUGUAAUCCCAGCACCUUAGGAGGCUAAGGCGGGAGGAUCACUUGAGUCCAGGAGUUUGAAAACAGCCUGGGCAACAUAACAAAGUCCCAUCUCCACAAAAAAUACAAACAUUAGCCCAGGAAGCUGAAGCAGGAGGAUCAUUUGAGCCCAGGAGAGCACAUCUCAGAGCCUGCUACAGGUAAACAGGCCAGAAGUUAAAUGCAUGAAACAAAUUAAAUGCAUGAAACAUUCAAGCACAUUCUUAUUGGUGUAAUUAAAAUAAAAAAGUAAAUGCAUGAAACAGAAGCUGUUUACCCACAGCAGAGGAGGGGCAGAAAUCAUAUCCAGUGUGCCAUAUCAUUACUGCCUGCCAGCAUUUCCUUAGGCUAUUUCAUUUAUUUACUUUUUUUGAGAUGGAGUCUCGCUCUGACUCCCAGGCUGGAGUGCAGUGGCAUGAUCUCCACUCACUGCAACCUCCACCUCCCAGGUUCAACCAAUUUUCCUGCCUCAGCCUCCCAAGUAGCUGGGAUUACAGGUGCCAGCCACCAUGACUGCCUAAUUUGUGUAUUUUUAUUAAGAGCAGCUAGUUUUUAAUGAAUCUUAGCCCAGAAUACAAAGCAGGGUGUAGCAGUUGCCUUAAUGGUGAUAUAAUUGUAAACAAUAGCUUUUUC